Molecule: ribosomal RNA, 411 nt
Filed under: Cephalopholis cruentata (graysby)
Lineage: Eukaryota; Metazoa; Chordata; Actinopteri; Perciformes; Serranidae
Description: partial 12S ribosomal RNA
Rfam family: Bacterial small subunit ribosomal RNA
Source: RNAcentral
UAGAUACCCCACUAUGCUUUGCCCUAAACAUUGAUAGUUUUUUACACCCACUAUCCGCCUGGUUACUACGAGCAACAGCUUAAAACCCAAGGACUUGGCGGUGCUUUAGACCCACCUAGAGGAGCCUGUUCUGGAACCGAUGAUCCCCGUUCAACCUCACCUUUUCUUGUUCUCCCCGCCUAUAUACCGCCGUCGUCAGCUUACCCUGUGAAGGACCUUCAGUAAGCACAAUUGGCACAGCCCAAAACGACAGGUCGAGGUGUAGCGUAUGGAAAGGGAAGAAAUGGGCUACAUUCCCUGGUACAGGGAAUUACGAAAAAUACGACUGAAAUGUGUAUCUAGAAGGAGGAUUUAGCAGUAAGUAGAAAGUAGAGUGUUCUACUGAAACUGGCCCUGAAGCGCGUACACACC